AUGGGACUGGAGGAUGAGCAAAAGAUGCUGAGCAGGUCCUGAGAUCCUAAGGAGGAGGAAGAGGAAGAGGAGGAAUGAGUGAAUCCCCUAACAACCGUGAGAUAGCAAUGUGAGCAGUUGGAGAAAUGUGUAAAGGCCUGGAAGCAGCUAGAGCUCUGUGACAAGCGUGUUAUCCUCUCGAUCACAUACAGAAGAGGAUUGCAAGAGGAGCUCUUUGACUUCUUGCAUGCAAGGGACCAUUGCUUUGCCCA
RNAcentral lists this long non-coding RNA (251 nucleotides) under Homo sapiens (human). RNAcentral's name for it is "non-protein coding lnc-ZNF485-8:1". The record is from RNAcentral. Lineage: Eukaryota; Metazoa; Chordata; Mammalia; Primates; Hominidae.